Molecule: unclassified non-coding RNA, 344 nt
Filed under: soil metagenome
Description: partial contains 5.8S ribosomal RNA, internal transcribed spacer 2, and large subunit ribosomal RNA
Rfam family: 5.8S ribosomal RNA (bases 1-120)
Source: RNAcentral
GAUGAAGAACGUAGCGAAAUGCGAUAAGUAAUGUGAAUUGCAGAAUUCAGUGAAUCAUCGAAUCUUUGAACGCACAUUGCGCCCCCUGGUAUUCCGGGGGGCAUGCCUGUCCGAGCGUCAUUGCUGCCCUCAAGCACGGCUUGUGUGUUGGGCCUCCGUCCUCCUCCCGGGGGACGGGCCCGAAAGGCAGCGGCGGCACCGCGUCCGGUCCUCGAGCGUAUGGGGCUUCGUCACCCGCUCUUGUAGGCCCGGCCGGCGCUUGCCGACACAUCAAUCUUUUUUCCAGGUUGACCUCGGAUCAGGUAGGGAUACCCGCUGAACUUAAGCAUAUCAAUAAGCGAGGA